GACGAACGCUGGCGGCGUGCCUAAUACAUGCAAGUCGAGCGGACCAAAGGGAGCUUGCUCCUGGAGGUUAGCGGCGAACGGGUGAGUAACACGUGGGCAACCUGCCUGUAAGACUGGGAUAACAUCGAGAAAUCGGUGCUAAUACCGGAUAAUAAAAAGAACUGCAUGGUUCUUUUUUGAAAGAUGGUUUCGGCUAUCACUUACAGAUGGGCCCGCGGCGCAUUAGCUAGUUGGUGGGGUAACGGCUCACCAAGGCGACGAUGCGUAGCCGACCUGAGAGGGUGAUCGGCCACACUGGGACUGAGACACGGCCCAGACUCCUACGGGAGGCAGCAGUAGGGAAUCUUCCGCAAUGGACGAAAGUCUGACGGAGCAACGCCGCGUGAGUGAUGAAGGUUUUCGGAUCGUAAAACUCUGUUGUUAGGGAAGAACAAGUGCCGUUCGAAAGGGCGGCACCUUGACGGUACCUAACGAGAAAGCCACGGCUAACUACGUGCCAGCAGCCGCGGUAAAGUA
Molecule: ribosomal RNA, 516 nt
Filed under: uncultured bacterium
Lineage: Bacteria
Description: bacterial SSU rRNA
Rfam family: Bacterial small subunit ribosomal RNA
Source: RNAcentral